AUGAAGACUGACAUGCUCAUCAUUUUUGUAGUCCUGGCUCUGUGGCUUCAAGUUCGCUGCCAGGAUGUGACCCAACACCCUGCAAUCAGCUGGAAUUAUGAGUCCAAAUCUGCAGAGAUGAACUGCAGCCACAACAAAGACAUUUAUCAUACCCAGAUGUACUGGUACAGGCAGCGUCCAGAGGAGACCAUGACCCUCAUUGUCUACACAGUUUAUGAGGGGAAGUCAGACUACGGGAGGCUCCCUCAAACCAAAUAUGAAACCAUCAAAGAUACCGUACAGACGGGGGCUCUUACUGUGAAAAACCUGCAGCCUGAGGACAGCGGUGUGUAUUUUUGUGCUGUCAGCAAACACAGUGACAGGAGAAGUAUGAGCAGCUGA
Molecule: non-coding RNA, 381 nt
Organism: Lates calcarifer (barramundi perch)
Lineage: Eukaryota; Metazoa; Chordata; Actinopteri; Centropomidae
Source: the annotation of a RefSeq genome assembly